UACGUAGGGGGCGAGCGUUAUCCGGAUUUACUGGGCAUAAAGCGCGUGUAGGCGGUUUUUUAAGUCAGAUGUUAAAUUCCUCAGCUUAACUGAGGCCCGCAUUUGAAACUAAAAAACUAGAGGUCAGGAGAGGAAAGCGGAACUCACGGUGUAGCGGUGAAAUGCGUAGAUAUCGUGAGGAACACCAGUUGCGAAGGCGGCUUUCUGGCCUGAAUCUGACGCUGAGAUGCGAAAGCGUGGGGAGCAAACGGG
This 252-nucleotide unclassified non-coding RNA is filed under the name uncultured bacterium. RNAcentral describes it as "contains 16S-23S intergenic spacer region". It matches the Rfam family "Bacterial small subunit ribosomal RNA", at positions 524 to 776 of the family's 1533-position model. The record is from RNAcentral.